This 2454-nucleotide ribosomal RNA is filed under the name Triticum aestivum (bread wheat). RNAcentral describes it as "partial small subunit ribosomal RNA". Lineage: Eukaryota; Viridiplantae; Streptophyta; Magnoliopsida; Poales; Poaceae. The record is from RNAcentral.
AUGAAGCUUUGGGACCGGGAGUGCAUGCAGACAUUUGAGUUUAAGGAUCAAUUUAUUACUGAAAUAUAUCAUGCCACAUUUAACCCAAAUGACACAUUUGCUACAGUGUCAUUUUACAACGAAAAAUACACUUUGAAGGUUUGGAGUCUUGAUUUGGGAUACAACUAUCCUCUUCAUGGGCAUUCGAGCAAAGUGAACUGCUUGGAUUUCUUCACAUGCCAUGAUCAAGAAUUUUUGGUUACAGGGUCAGAUGAUUGGACUGCCAAGAUAUGGUAUUUGCCACAGAAGAUAUGUGUGUAUACACUUGAAGCUUUUGUAUCUCCAGUUAAGUCUGUCCUGUACCAGCCAAAUCUUCAGAAUCUAAUUAUAGGUUCAAACGAUGGUGCUAUUUAUUUGUGGAGAACCAAAAUUUGCAGGAUUUGUUCAUGCCCUCCCACACUUACAAGAAUCAUCAAGAUUGGUUGUGUUGGAGGUGCUUACCAUCUUGCAUGUGUGAUGAGAAGCAUUGUGAUUGGAGAAGGAAACACAGUGGCAUUUAUGGAUAUCAAUAAUGUGCAUUAUCAUGAGCAAUUAACGGAUUACAACAAGUGGCAGUUAAGUGCAGACACGAGACAACAUGUUGGAGACACAACUUCUAAGUUGAACUCACUAAAUUUGUUUGGAGGGGACAUUGCAGGGUGCAUCAACCCACGGGAACUCCGCUUCCCAUAUAAUCCUAAUGAUCCCAUCUCGUGCUCAUUGUACCUAACAAACAACACAAAUGAAAAUGUGGCAUUUAGACUUGUGGACAAGAGCCGCAAGUCCCCAUGGUGCUUCACAAAGCUUCCAUUGUAUGGCAUUGUGCCUCCUAGGUCCACUUAUACUUUGAUUGUGACAACAAAAGAGGAGAUGAGGCUGAAGGAAAAUAAAGACUUCGAUCUCGUUAUUCAAAGCAGUUUAUUGGGAGGUAAGUACAUCAUGGUAUUCCAAAACCAAUCUGAGUCUGAUCAUUUUUUCGAGGAAGCCAAAGAGUUUGGGAAUAUGGUGCAUGAGGUGAUAUUGGAAGCCGUUUAUCAGCAGUACAAAGAGAUCAAAUCUGAGGUUCAGAAUAUAUCGGUGAAGUAUAAUCCUGACGAUAUGCGGUCCAUAGAUGCACAUCCAACACAGCCAUGGGUUUUAACAGGUCAUAGAAAUGGAUAUGCUUGCGUAUGGAACCAUGAGAUGAAGUACCCGACGAAUUCGUUUAAAGUCGCGGAGGUUGCAGUAAAUAAUGUCAAAUUUAUUGCAAGAAGGGAAUGGAUUAUAGCUCAGACACAUAAAGAUGUCCUCCAUCUGUAUGACUGUGCGUGUGUGAAGAAAAUAAAAAAGAUCAAGAGUGUUGAAUCUAGUGUACGUCCAUCCAACCGUCCAAUACUAGCCGUUCAUCCAACCCUACCAUGUGUGUUGUCGUCCUAUGGUUGUUUGCUACUAGUUUUAGACUGGGACCAGACCUGGAAGCCGACAUAUUAUGGGACUUGGGACGGGAACCUGUCUCCGAGGAGGAGGACAGUCGCAUUUAACCCAUGGGACCAGAACUGUUUCGCGAGUGGGUCUUGUUAUGGCGAAAUAGAGGUUUGGAGGCUUGAUUCCAACACCCCCGAAUAUUCUUUGCCUGGGCACUAUGAUAUGGUGAAUUGCCUUGAUUUUAUCAGACGUGGAGAUCAGCACUAUUUGGUCAGUGGCCAUCAGGAUUGCACUGCAAAGAUCUGGGACUUGCAGAAAAGGGAGUGCAUCUGUACGCUACAAGCUAUGUCUCCAGUUCUCUGUGCCCUGGCCCAUCCAACCCUUCCUGUUCUAAUUACAGGAACGCAACAUGGCAUCAUUCAGAUCUGGAGCUCUGCUGAUUUCAGGCUCAAGAGAACCAUCAACUUAGGUGGUGGUGGAGGACCUGUUGUCGGUCUCGCCUGUUUGAUGGGCUCACAACGGAUUGUGAUUGGGCAAGAGAACGCAAUAUCUAUCAUGGAUUAUUUUCGGAGCCGGGGAAGGCGACGUGCCCGUGCGCUGGCGAAGCAAGCUGAAACGGAGCUCACUCAAGCCGAAGAAGAGGACGGCGAAACAGAGGUGCUCACUCGAGCCAAAGCAGAGGAGGCAGGUGCAAAGCAGCGUUGGGCAGAGCACAGCGAAACAGAGGAACAGGCCGCUACGCAAGAGCAGCGGUCAUUGCAACCGGGAAGUGCGGCUGAAGCGGAGUGCAGUCAAGCCAAAGGAGAGCACAGGGAAAGAGAGGAGCCGGCAGUGUUGCCACCCAAGAGCGGAUAUGCAAUGUCCCGGGUGGAGCACCGCCGCCGGGAGAAGCGACGGGCGUCACGCGCUCGUGCGCCGGCGAGGCGGGCUGAAGCGGAGGGCAGUACGACUGAGGCGGAGCCUGUGUUUUGGCUUUCGGUUUGUGAAUUUUCAAGAGAUGGCCGAAAUUCGGCUAUUUUAAAAAUCUCGUAA